GAGAUCCCAACUCCAAGUGCCCACAUCUUCGGCAGUCCAAAGAACAAAUCCAAACCUCCACGAACAGAGUACGACGGCAGCUUCAUCCUCCCGAUUCUUCCGGCACCUCAUCUAAGCCGUGAACAGCACCCAGCAUCUUCCGGAUGAGCAUUCCAUCUUCUUCUGACUUCUUCUCAUCCACAAAUCCGAACCAAAUGCAUAACAGAGCACCCUUAUCCCAAGGAACAGACCCGUAUGUGAUCUUCUCCCCUGUUUCACGCAUGGCCAGCCGUUCCCAAGCUUCACGGAAGCUUCAUCAAAACUGUCAACCGAAUCCA
This 317-nucleotide long non-coding RNA is filed under the name Phoenix dactylifera (date palm). RNAcentral's name for it is "long non-coding RNA (PDAC_LNC017685)". The record is from RNAcentral. Lineage: Eukaryota; Viridiplantae; Streptophyta; Magnoliopsida; Arecales; Arecaceae.